Molecule: ribosomal RNA, 460 nt
Filed under: uncultured bacterium
Lineage: Bacteria
Description: bacterial SSU rRNA
Rfam family: Bacterial small subunit ribosomal RNA
Source: RNAcentral
CAGUUGGGGAAUAUUGCUACAAUGGGCGCAAGCCUGAUGCAGCCAUGCCGUCGUGUAUGAAGUAAGGCCUUCGGGUUGUAAAGUACUUUUCAGUCAGUGUAGGAAGGUGGGUGUCGUUAAUAGUCGGCAUCAUUUUGACGUUUAGCUUGCAGAAGAAGCACCGGCUAACUCCGUGCCAGCAGCCGCGGUAAUACGGAGGGUGCGAGCGUUAAUCGGAAUUACUGGGCGUAAAGCGCAUGCAGGUGGUUUGUUAAGUCAGAUGUGAAAGCCCGGGGCUCAACCUCGGAAUUGCAUUUGAAACUGGCAGACUAGAGUACUGUAGAGGGGGUAGAAUUUCAGGUGUAGCGGUGAAAAUGCGUAGAGAUCUGAAGGAAUACCGGUGGCGAAGGCGGCCCCCUGGACAGAUACUGACACUCAGAUGCGAAAGCGUGGGAGCAAACAGGAUUAGAUACCCUGGUAG